Molecule: ribosomal RNA, 237 nt
Filed under: uncultured Staphylococcus sp.
Lineage: Bacteria; Bacillati; Bacillota; Bacilli; Caryophanales; Staphylococcaceae
Description: partial 16S ribosomal RNA
Rfam family: Bacterial small subunit ribosomal RNA
Source: RNAcentral
CGGGUGAGUAACACGUGGAUAACCUACCUAUAAGACUGGGAUAACUUCGGGAAACCGGAGCUAAUACCAGAUAACAUGUUGAACCGCAUGGUUCAACAGUGAAAGACGGUCUUGCUGUCACUUAUAGAUGGAUCCGCGCCGCAUUAGCUAGUUGGUAAGGUAACGGCUUACCAAGGCAACGAUGCGUAGCCGACCUGAGAGGGUGAUCGGCCACACUGGAACUGAGACACGGUCCAG